Molecule: ribosomal RNA, 433 nt
Filed under: uncultured bacterium
Lineage: Bacteria
Description: partial 16S ribosomal RNA
Rfam family: Bacterial small subunit ribosomal RNA
Source: RNAcentral
AACGAACGCUGGCGGCAUGCCUAACACAUGCAAGUCGAACGAUACCUUCGGGUCGAGUGGCUCACUGGUGCGUAACGCGUGGGAAUCUGCCCUUGGGUUCGGAAUAACAGGUGGGAACGACUGCUAAUACCGGAUGGUUACGUAAGUCCAAAGAUUUAUCGCCGAAGGAUGAGCCCGCGUAGGAUUAGCUAGUUGGUGAGGUAAAGGCUCACCAAGGCGACGAUCCGUAGCUGGUCUGAGAGGAUGAGCAGCCAACCUGGGACUGAGACACGGCCCAGACUCAUACGGGAGGCAGCAGUAGGGAAUAUUGGACAAUGGGCGUAAGCCUAAUCCAGCAAUGCCGUGUGAGUGACGAAGGGCUUAGGGUUGUAAAGCUAUUUUAACCCGGAUGAUAAUGACAGUAACGGGAGGAUGAGCUCCGGCUAACUCCGUG